RNAcentral lists this ribosomal RNA (977 nucleotides) under uncultured Tulasnellaceae. Its description in RNAcentral is "eukaryotic LSU rRNA". The stretch from base 423 to 977 matches the Rfam family "Eukaryotic large subunit ribosomal RNA", at positions 1 to 479 of the family's 3401-position model. Lineage: Eukaryota; Fungi; Basidiomycota; Agaricomycetes; Cantharellales; Tulasnellaceae. The record is from RNAcentral.
GCCCACCGAUCGACCAUGCAAUUUCUCUGAGCAUUGAUCAGUAACAGUUGAUAAAUUCACAACUGGUAGCAUUGGAUCCCUUGGCACGCCAUUCGAUGAAGACCGUAGCAAAUUGCGAUAAGUGGUGUGAUAUGCGAGUCCAAAACUUAUACGUGAACCAUCGAAUUGUUGAACGCAUUGCAUCGAGCUUUGCCCAAGCACGAUAUGCCCCAUUGAGCGUCAUUAUGUCUUCGGAAUCUAUCCGAGUUCGGGAUUCAUGGCCAACUUCGGCCACGCUUCCUCAGAUGAUGUGCAUUGCUCAGGUUGUGCUCCUCGUUGUAAACUUCGAGACAGCAAGACUGAUGUGAUCGCUUGUUGUUGGGACCUCACGCAGCYGUCCCAAACACCGGCACUUGGUUGAACCGAGUGUCUCCUYCUUGACAUGACCUCACGGGGGUAAGACGACCCGCUAGACUUAAGCAUAUUAAUCAGCGGAGGAAAAGAAACUAACAAGGAUUCCCCCAGUAACUGCGAGUGAAGAGGGAAGAGCUCAAUGUGUGAAUCUGACCGGGAGUAAUGCCUGGUUCGAAUUGUGCACUAUUGACGCUGGAUCAGCGUAUGGGAGCUUGCGGCGGAUGUCCGAUGAAACACGGCACCACAGCGGGUCACAGUCCCGUACAUGCCCAUCAAGCACCUGCGCCUAUGACCAGUGUUCUUCGAGUCGCGUAGUUUUGUAUUGCUGCGCUAAUUGGGAGGUAGAGCCCUUCUAAAGCUAAAUAUGAUGGCGUGACCGAUAGCAAACAAGUACCGUGAGGGAAAGGUGAAAAGCAACCAUGCAGAAUGGGUUGAAAAAGAAGUGAAAGUGCUACCGGGAUAAGGGCUAUUGAUUGCAAGUGCGGGUUGCGUGUGCUUUAGUGCUACGCUUGCUGCCGUCGUGCAUCGAUUGGGGACUGGGGAGAACAGGGCGGCGGAAAUUCGGCUCGGUCUCGAGUGUUGUA